Molecule: ribosomal RNA, 427 nt
Filed under: uncultured bacterium
Lineage: Bacteria
Description: bacterial SSU rRNA
Rfam family: Bacterial small subunit ribosomal RNA
Source: RNAcentral
GUGGGGAAUAUUGGACAAUGGGCGCAAGCCUGAUCCAGCAAUGCCGCGUGUGUGAAGAAGGCCUUCGGGUUGUAAAGCACUUUUAUCAGGAGCGAAAUACUAUCGGUUAAUAACCGGUGGGGCUGACGGUACCUGAGGAAUAAGCACCGGCUAACUGCGUGCCCGCAGCCGCGGUAAUACGAAGGGUGCAAGCGUUAAUCGGAAUUACUGGGCGUAAAGGGUGCGUAGGCGGUUAGUUAAGUCUGUUGUGAAAUCCCCGGGCUCAACCUGGGAAUGGCAAUGGAUACUGGCUAGCUAGAGUGUGUCAGAGGAUGGUGGAAUUCCCGGUGUAGCGGUGAAAUGCGUAGAGAUCGGGAGGAACAUCAGUGGCGAAGGCGGCCAUCUGGGACAACACUGACGCUGAAGCACGAAAGCGUGGGGAGCAAAC